CACAUUAUUAGUAAAAGUGAAAAUAAAAUACAAAACAAUUCAGAGCAAACAUCAUUCACCUUUUUCACCCUCUCUUUCAACAUUACUGUUCCAUUUAACCAAAAGUUUGGUCUUCUCAUCUUCUUCAUUAUUUCCAAUGGACAAAUGCACACUCAUCACCAUGUGAUUGUAAAAUAAUAAUCCCAAAACACAAACGUCAUCAUCUGGAGUAAAGUGUCACCAUUCAUUGGUUUAUGAUUUUUC
This 243-nucleotide long non-coding RNA is filed under the name Phaseolus vulgaris (common bean). Its description in RNAcentral is "long non-coding RNA (PVUL_LNC001133)". The record is from RNAcentral. Lineage: Eukaryota; Viridiplantae; Streptophyta; Magnoliopsida; Fabales; Fabaceae.